CCUUAAACAAUGCGCUCGAUCCAUAAUUGGCGAUUAUAACUACGCCAUGGCUGCCUAAUCUCGGCAGGAUGCUGAGAUAGAGGCUUAAAAGGUUAACCGGUAAGACCGGUUCCUGGCCACAUCCCGCCCGGUUCUGUUUUGCCGACCGGGGUUUUGGGGUGUCGGAAAGGCAAAACUAGCUGCCGGCAGGCUGCGGGCCGGUAGCGAACCUGAAGCAGCUAAGGGAAAUGGCAGGCCUGUUUCCCGGCUGGCCUUUCCCCGACAAGCAAAAGGGAAACUAAGCAUGUAGAAGAUACAUUGCCGCCUUGUCUGGACCAGGGUUCGACUCCCUGCGGCUCCACAA
RNAcentral lists this transfer-messenger RNA (343 nucleotides) under Flammeovirgaceae bacterium. RNAcentral's name for it is "partial transfer-messenger RNA". It matches the Rfam family "transfer-messenger RNA", at positions 66 to 374 of the family's 374-position model. From Rfam's summary of the family: Bacterial tmRNA, also known as 10Sa RNA or SsrA, is named for its dual tRNA and mRNA-like properties. Its role is to liberate the mRNA from a stalled ribosome. The record is from RNAcentral. Lineage: Bacteria; Pseudomonadati; Bacteroidota; Cytophagia; Cytophagales; Flammeovirgaceae.